Molecule: long non-coding RNA, 1620 nt
Organism: Cotesia glomerata
Lineage: Eukaryota; Metazoa; Arthropoda; Insecta; Hymenoptera; Braconidae
Exons: 4
Source: RefSeq, a predicted model, not a curated record
AUGUAGAAAUUAAAAAAAAUAAAAAAUGCAAUUUUUUAGAAUAAAUUUUUUCGUUAAAUAAAAUUAAAAGAUUGUGAAGUGACUGGUAACUUUAAUUUCAUAUAAUUGACAGGUUUUACUAAAUCGCUGUUUUAUGAAAAAUGUUAACCAGCGGUACUUGAUAUUUGUAAAAGUAAUUUAGAGUUAUAAAUGUAAUAGUAGUGUAGCAAUUACAUGUAUGUAAUAAAAAGUUGGAUUAGCCUACUUAAAAAUUUGAACAUAUAAAAAGAUGAUGAUAUGGACAAAUGAUUGAAUAGUAGAGCGAAAAUCAAUCAGAAUAAAAAAGAUGAAGAAAAGAAGAAAACAGUCCCGCAGCUCUUAACUGCUGGCAAAAUAUUUAUAUUUUAGAAUUUGGCGAAACAACGAUAGAGCUGAUCACAUGCUGUAAAAAUCAGAAUAAAAGCAAGAGAUAUCAACUCAUUGAAAUAUUUUUUACCAGAGCCUGUAAAAAAUUCUAAGAGUGGUUGUUUCAAUUCCUGUCGAUAUUUAUUUAUUUAUGAUAGUGAAUCCUCAAAGAAGUUAGUAUCCUGGCAGUGUUCGUUGACUAGAUUGGCUAUCCUGUUACUUGAACAAUGCUAUACAUCGCUUUUUGUUGUCUUAGUAGCGUCCAACAAUCUAUGUUGUCUUAAGCCUGGCCUUGGACGGAUAAUUUGAAAUUGUGAUAUUGUGAAUAUAAAUCACAUAGUAAUUAUUUUGCAAGAUUUUACAACAAUUUAACGUAUCACAUUAUUGUCCAUAUAAUGAGAAAAUUAAUUUUUUUAUUAGAUAGAUAGAUAAUAAUUUUAUUAGAUUCUGGAGCCUAGGCUCCCUCAGAACCGUCAUCAAAUAUACAUUAUAAUUAGCGUAUGAAGUACAGAGUUUUUGAUACAUAAAAAUAAAAAAUAAAUAUAGUAAUUGACGGAAUAAUAUGUCAAUUGUGCUUAUAAAUAAUACUUGUGUCAUAAAAAGCUCAACAACCUUCAAUAACAGUAAUAAGCGUUCAAUAUAGAAGAUCAAUAAUUCUGGAAAUAAUAAUCAUCGCACAGACUACGGAAUAAUUCAAAACUUUCAGCUUUUAUAAUUUCGGCUGGCAGCGCAUUCCAAAUACGUAUACCACGAACAAGAAAAGAGUUAUCGUACAUACAACAAUUAGAUCUAGGUAGACGUAGAUAAUCUUCCCUUCCAUCACCUCUACGCAACGCAACCGGUGAAAAUUCUAAGUGCCAUAUUACCAUAUUUUGUUUCGUCAAAAGUGGGUAAUUAUAAAGCUACGAUCCAGCAAAUAAAAUUUAUAAUAAUUUACGAAAAAUAUGCAGUUAGUAAUUUAUAACUUAAUUAUUAUAAUUAAUCUCAAUUAAGGGGCAUAGCCACUGUGAGGAUCGAAAAAAUAAGUGAUUUUCGGGAAUUUUUUUGACUGGGAUAAUAAGAGAAUUUGGGCAUUGGGUUUUUUUUUGUUUUAUAAAGUAUACAUCAAAGAUCAUUCUCCUAAAUUUUGAUCAAAAAAUAUCAUGUUGUUACAAAGUUAUAAGCAUUUUUGUAGAGCACCAAAAAAAUUUCCCCCACUACGGUGGGAUCUCUAACUCAAAAACGGAUUAUCUAAAA